RNAcentral lists this ribosomal RNA (502 nucleotides) under Escherichia coli. Its description in RNAcentral is "partial 23S ribosomal RNA". It matches the Rfam family "Bacterial large subunit ribosomal RNA", at positions 1920 to 2421 of the family's 2925-position model. Lineage: Bacteria; Pseudomonadati; Pseudomonadota; Gammaproteobacteria; Enterobacterales; Enterobacteriaceae. The record is from RNAcentral.
CCGGUAAACGGCGGCCGUAACUAUAACGGUCCUAAGGUAGCGAAAUUCCUUGUCGGGUAAGUUCCGACCUGCACGAAUGGCGUAAUGAUGGCCAGGCUGUCUCCACCCGAGACUCAGUGAAAUUGAACUCGCUGUGAAGAUGCAGUGUACCCGCGGCAAGACGGAAAGACCCCGUGAACCUUUACUAUAGCUUGACACUGAACAUUGAGCCUUGAUGUGUAGGAUAGGUGGGAGGCUUUGAAGUGUGGACGCCAGUCUGCAUGGAGCCGACCUUGAAAUACCACCCUUUAAUGUUUGAUGUUCUAACGUUGACCCGUAAUCCGGGUUGCGGACAGUGUCUGGUGGGUAGUUUGACUGGGGCGGUCUCCUCCUAAAGAGUAACGGAGGAGCACGAAGGUUGGCUAAUCCUGGUCGGACAUCAGGAGGUUAGUGCAAUGGCAUAAGCCAGCUUGACUGCGAGCGUGACGGCGCGAGCAGGUGCGAAAGCAGGUCAUAGUGAUCC